GAGAGAGAGAGAGAGAGGAAAUGGCAACGAAAGAGGACAAUCGAGAAACACCCAAAACGUCGUCGAAGGUGCUGUCGCUAUUUUUCUUUUAUAAUUUUCCUGUCUUAUGCGAUUGAUAUAAUAAAGCUAGAAUUUUUCAUUUGCUUGCUGAGAAAAUAUUCGAGGGAAAGGAAUUGAAUCGAAUUCUCUAGAUUUUAAGUUUGUUUAUUUUUCUUUCUUCUAUUUUCUUGCCGGCCAAACACUGGAUGCUGGAUGCGUUUGUUAUUUAUACUACUGCUGGUUGUUUGGCUGUAUCGUUUUUCUUUAGCUCUGGUGAUGUAAAUGAAAUUCGAUCUUAAAUACUUUGAUGGGAUUCAAAUUAGCUAGUGGCUAGUGGGUGUUCGAUAAAAUGCUUAAAAGAGUUGAUUGCAUGCUAAUACCGAUGAGCCUUAGCUCAUCUCGCAUGAAUUUGUUUAUAUUUCGAUAGUGGUAAUGCGUACCUUUCAGUAGGUGAAUCCAAUGUCAAAUGAUAGUAAUAACAUAUAGGUUUAAUGAUUUUAUUUGAACCUUAUAUGAUUAUAUCUGCUAAUUCAUUUCAUGGAUUAAUUCCUACUUUGGUGCCUACAAGCUUGCUAUCUAUUUCCAUAUGUGUUUUAUCUUGGGAUAAUUGUGGACCUGCGAAAUUCCUUAGCCCUUGGUUUCAUAGAAUAGAUUCUUCUUGGUGCAGUUUCUUCUUUCUUUAAAGUGCUUAACUUUAAAUUUUAGUAAUUGGAGCAGGUUCUCAUCGUGAGCAAACAUUUUUAAGAUUGCUUUUGCUGUCAUCACGUUUAAUUUUUGCAAUUUGAAAGGAAAUAUGGCUGUAACCAGGGAAGAAUAUGAGCUGGGGGCAUACUGGGAGCAAAAGGGUGAAUGAUUGCCAAAAAAGAAAAAGGCUGGAACUAUUCCCUUGGACUAAUAAAACAAACCAAACGAGCUAGUGUAGUCUUCUAAACUAGUUACAAUCUAAUAGCAUUCCAAGCACUUUUUCUUCUGCAGCAACUUACAAUAUAAUAGCAUUCCAAGCACUUUUAUCUGACAAUUUUUCAACAUUUGCGUUGAUCCAAACAACUUAUUUUAUUUUAUUUAUCCUCAUUAGAUCUAUAGGAGGAACCAUACUCAAAUUCCAUAACUAUUAAGAGCUGCCACUUGAAUUUGAAAAAGAGGUUGUGUCAUAGACAAUAGCAAAGUUUUAGUCCAUGGGAAGCGGACCUCUAUGAUGCUGAUUAUCAAUUCAUUAAGAAAUUUACUUGAUAAUGUGUUUUAGAUGGAGUCCAAUAUGGUAUUGGUCGAGGGAUCCACAAAUUUGUUUCUUGAGAUGUGUGUCCCACAACCCCAUUUUCCUCUCAUUUCUUGUCCCCUCCAUUUUCCUUCAUCUCCCAAGCAGAGAGUCGAGCAGAAAUUCACUUGAUUCCUAAACCUCCAUCUUAGUCUUGCAAAUAGAAUGCUAGUAAACAUUUUUGACCUUGGGUAUUUGAAUAUUACAUUCUUGGAGUACUAUAUGCAUGGGAUUUAAACAUAGAACCUUCAGCAUUAGCAUCUAUUAUUUGCAGAAGGAGAUGAUCUUUCUAUCAUGUUAUCUUCCCUGCUAAUACAAUGUUAUGCUUUACGCUAGAGGGACUUUAGUUUAAACAAUUCUCCAAUAAUGAGAAUGAUCACACCUCUAAGUCUUUUUAGGAACCCAAUCUUACUUUAAUUCUUCCAUCCAUCAUCACCAACGUAUUCUUUUUCUGAAGAUAGAAAGAGAGUGGAACUGUUUGAGGAGUACUUUUCAGUCAAAACGUAACGUUGUCAGGAAGUUCAUUGUCAUCUGCUACCAUUUUCCAGUGGCCUUCUCCUUGUUGAGAGGGCCCCAAAAGCAUUUCCCAGAUAGCUGAGAUCAUUUGUUUAGGUACGUGCUCCAUUGGGAUGUGUCAUAGUUAUUAGCCCAAACUGUCAAUUUUGUAGCUGUAGGUUUAACGAGUUUCAUGCAAAGUUUCCACUUUUUUAGAACUGAAGUUUGAUUAGCAAUAUUCCAGGACCCUGCUUCUAUAGUCACUUUCCUAUCUAGAGCUAUGGAACUUGAAAUGCCACAAAAUUGUAUUUUGCCAUAACUUCCACUGGUCCAUAAUAUCCCCAAAGCAUAUCAACAACUGCGAACGUGAUUGUAUUGAUAGAAGUGGUAAUCCAUCAUAGAGAUGCAUUGUUUUUUUCUGUAGAUCCAAUAUAUAAUGUUCUUCUGAUACGAACUUGAACUUGCAUUAACAGUAGACAGUGCUUGUUCCUCAAUCUUUGUUAUUAUGUUGUUGCCUUCCCAUUAUUUGUUCACAUCUGAGGGAAAUCUGAAAGAAGAGAUGGUAAAUUAUCUUUUUGUAAUUUUGAUUGCAGAAUCCACGAUGGGCAGUGCGAUCAGUGGAUACCUAUGCUGCGCAAUGUGAAAAAUGCUCAAAAUGGAGGGUAAUUGCAACGCAAGAAGAGUACGAGGAAAUAAGAAGCAAAAUCUUCGAGAAUCCCUUUGUUUGUGACAGAAAACCCGGUGUAUCUUGUGAGGAUCCUGCUGACAUCGAAUACAAUGCAACUCGAACUUGGGUCAUUGACAGGCCUGGGAUCCCAAAGACCCCUGUAGGUUUUAAGAGGAGCUUGGUGCUCAGACGAGAUUUCUCUAAAAUGGAUGCUUAUUAUAUCACUCCCACAGGAAAGAAACUAAGAACGAGAAAUGAAAUUGCUGCAUUUUUAGAAGCAAAUCCAAAAUACAAAGAUGUAUCUAUUGAGGACUUCAAUUUCACUUCUCCAAAGGUAAUGGAAGACACUAUACCUGAAGAUGGAAAGAAGGUUAAUGCUAGUGGUAGCGGUAAUGGAUAAAGUAAGGCAUUAAAUGAUGCAGCUUGAGCUGGUAUGCUGUGUCUCUAAGUAACUUGUUAUUGGGUGUUGUAUCUCUACAAGGUUGGUGUGAUGGGGGGUUUUUUUGUUCAUUUUCGCUGCAUGGGAGGGAUUUUUUGGGGCCAAUACAUUUUGCAGAUGAUGGCAGAACAAUUGCGUAGUUGCGAGAAUCCUAUUUAUUUUCCGAUUAGGUUGCUGGCUCUUUAUUGAUCGCUUGGAGUAACGCAAUGCCAAACAAAGGCCAUUGAAAUUUGGCAAUGCAAUCCCAAAAACUGAAUUCCAGCAAAGUUUAUUUGGGGUUUUUUUUUUCCCCUGCCGAGAGGGGAGAGAGGGGUGUGAACUGUGGAGGCAAAUUGCAUUUCUUCAUGGUGUUUUAUACCACAAGUUUUCAAUGUGGGCAAUGCAUAAAUGAUUACUAUAAAAUUAAUCGCGUAUUUUCUUUUAAUAAAAAUUUUCAAAUUUAUAAAUAAAAUUAAAAAGGGACUUUUUCAUUUUAUAUUGAUUUAUUGAAAUAUAAAAAGAUUUUGAUAUGUAAUAGCCAAAAUGAAUUCUAACCCAAAAUAAGCUACGAACUUUUUUGAAUGUUUGUUUUUAAGCUCUAGUAAAUAAUCCCAAAGAACAAAGUUGUCAUUGGUAUUAUUGUUUAAACUAUUAUUAAAAAAAGUAUUUUUUAAAUAUACUAUUAAGACAAUAUUAAGAAAAUUUAAAAUUAAAUUUAAUAAAU
Molecule: unclassified non-coding RNA, 3598 nt
Filed under: Hevea brasiliensis (rubber tree)
Lineage: Eukaryota; Viridiplantae; Streptophyta; Magnoliopsida; Malpighiales; Euphorbiaceae
Source: RNAcentral